RNAcentral lists this ribosomal RNA (666 nucleotides) under Oxystomina sp. TCR21. Its description in RNAcentral is "eukaryotic LSU rRNA". It matches the Rfam family "Eukaryotic large subunit ribosomal RNA", at positions 406 to 900 of the family's 3401-position model. Lineage: Eukaryota; Metazoa; Nematoda; Enoplea; Enoplida; Oxystominidae. The record is from RNAcentral.
CACAUAGAAGUAACGAGUUGGAGCUGCAAUGUCGUUUCCAAGAUUCAGCUUGAUGAGCUUUUGGUGCACUUGUACCGAUCUUUUGACGGGACAGGCGUCACUGCUUCUGCUUACUGAGUGCAUUUCUUGGACAUGAGCACUGCGACCGGUAUCUGUGCUGGUAGAAGCUUGGAAUAUCGUGGGCAGGCCAAUUCGGUAUCUGAUUCCCAUUUUUCAAUGCCUACCUGGUUGCGGGGACCGUGUAAUACUUGCACUGGCUUGUCUCAGUGUGCAGGGUAAAGCGUUGACUGAAAUUCUGUAGUCUGCUUGCAGGCUAUGGUAACCCUUAGCGCUUGUACUUUGUAUUGCUGACUUGGUGCAAAGUGUCUGCAGUGUAUGUGUCAGCCACCCAACUCACCCGUCUUGAAACACGGACCAAGGAGUCUAACAUGUGCGCGAGUCAUUGGGUGGUAAACUCAAAGGCGCAAUGAAAGUAAGCUCCUUCUGGAGUGAAGUACGAUUCUCGUUUUAAGCGAGACGCAGUACUGUCCUGUCUUAUCUGCAUUGUCGGUUAGGCAGAGAAAGAGCGUACAUGUUGGGACCCGAAAGAUGGUGAACUAUSCCUGAGCAGGAUGAAGCCAGAGGAAACUCUGGUGGAGGUCCGUAGCGAUUCUGACGUGCAAAUCG